CAGCAUAGCUCUGUAAUUUCGGAAAACAUCCGAAAUUACAGAGCUAUGCUGUUCU
RNAcentral lists this microRNA precursor (55 nucleotides) under Heligmosomoides polygyrus. RNAcentral describes it as "microRNA hpo-mir-10154 precursor". The record is from miRBase by way of RNAcentral. Lineage: Eukaryota; Metazoa; Nematoda; Chromadorea; Rhabditida; Heligmosomidae.